UACGUAGGUGGCAAGCGUUGUCCGGAUUUAUUGGGUUUAAAGGGUGCGUAGGCGGCUUUGUAAGUCAGUGGUGAAAUAUGGCAGCUCAACUGUCAAGGUGCCAUUGAUACUGCAGAGCUUGAGUACAGAUGAGGUAGGCGGAAUUGACGGUGUAGCGGUGAAAUGCGUAGAUAUCUGGAGGAACACCGGUGGCGAAGGCGACAUCCUGGACCAACACUGACGCUGAGGAGCGAAAGCCAGGGGAGCAAACGGG
Molecule: ribosomal RNA, 253 nt
Filed under: uncultured bacterium
Lineage: Bacteria
Description: partial 16S ribosomal RNA
Rfam family: Bacterial small subunit ribosomal RNA
Source: RNAcentral